GAUGAAGAACGUAGCGAAAUGCGAUAAGUAAUGUGAAUUGCAGAAUUCAGUGAACCAUCGAAUCUUUGAACGCACAUUGCGCCCGGCAGUAAUCUGCCGGGCAUGCCUGUCCGAGCGUCAUUUCUGCCCUCGAGCGCGGUUAGCUUGCUAUCCGCUGCCCGGUGUUGGGGCGCUACGGUUCAGGGCCUCGUGCCCUGUCGUAGGCCCCGAAAUGAAGUGGCGGUCCCGCCGCGGCGCCCCCUGCGUAGUAGUCUUACAACUCGCAUCGGGACCCGGUGGAGGCCAGCCGUCAACCCACCUUUCUAUGGUUUGACCUCGGAUCAGGUAGGGUUACCCGCUGAACUUAAGCAUAUCAAUAAGCGGAGGA
This 367-nucleotide unclassified non-coding RNA is filed under the name soil metagenome. RNAcentral's name for it is "partial contains 5.8S ribosomal RNA, internal transcribed spacer 2, and large subunit ribosomal RNA". The stretch from base 1 to 120 matches the Rfam family "5.8S ribosomal RNA", at positions 35 to 154 of the family's 154-position model. The record is from RNAcentral.